This 555-nucleotide ribosomal RNA is filed under the name Tetracerus quadricornis (four-horned antelope). RNAcentral describes it as "partial 16S ribosomal RNA". It matches the Rfam family "Bacterial large subunit ribosomal RNA", at positions 1846 to 2623 of the family's 2925-position model. Lineage: Eukaryota; Metazoa; Chordata; Mammalia; Artiodactyla; Bovidae. The record is from RNAcentral.
UUGGAGGCACUGCCUGCCUCGUGACAAUCGUUAAACGGCCGCGGUAUCCUGACCGUGCAAAGGUAGCAUAAUCAUUUGUUCUCUAAAUAGGGACUUGUAUGAAAGGCCACACGAGGGUUUUACUGUCUCUUACUUCCAAUCAGUGAAAUUGACCUUCCCGUGAAGAGGCGGGAAUAAACCAAUAAGACGAGAAGACCCUAUGGAGCUUCAACUAACUAGCCCAAAGAAAAUAAAUAUAACCACCAAGGGAAUAAAAAUUUCUCUAUAGGCAUAGCAGUUUCGGUUGGGGUGACCUCGGAGAACAAAAAAUCCUCCGAGCGAUUUUAAAGACUAGACCUACAAGUCAAAUCACUCUAUCGCUUAUUGAUCCAAAAACUUGAUCAACGGAACAAGUUACCCUAGGGAUAACAGCGCAAUCCUAUUCAAGAGUCCAUAUCGACAAUUAGGGUUUACGACCUCGAUGUUGGAUCAGGACACCCAGAUGGUGCAACCGCUAUCAAAGGUUCGUUUGUUCAACGAUUAAAGUCCUACGUGAUCUGAGUUCAAACCGGAGAA